GAUGAACGCUGGCGGUAUGCUUAACACAUGCAAGUCGAACGGACUCUUCGGAGUUAGUGGCGGACGGGUGAGUAACGCGUGAGAAUCUGGCUUUGGGUUCGGGACAACCACUGGAAACGGUGGCUAAUACCGGAUGUGCCGAGAGGUAAAAGAGAAAUUGCCUGAAGAUGAGCUCGCGUCUGAUUAGCUAGUUGGUGAGGUAAAGGCUCACCAAGGCAGCGAUCAGUAGCUGGUCUGAGAGGAUGACCAGCCACACUGGGACUGAGACACGGCCCAGACUCCUACGGGAGGCAGCAGUGGGGAAUUGUCCGCAAUGGGCGAAUGCCUGACGGAGCAAUACCGCGUGAGGGAAGAAGGCUCUUGGGUUGUAAACCUCUUUUCUUAGGGAAGAACAAAAUGACGGUACCUAAGGAAUCAGCAUCGGCUAACUCCGUG
Molecule: ribosomal RNA, 435 nt
Filed under: uncultured bacterium
Lineage: Bacteria
Description: partial 16S ribosomal RNA
Rfam family: Bacterial small subunit ribosomal RNA
Source: RNAcentral